Molecule: ribosomal RNA, 1119 nt
Filed under: Triticum aestivum (bread wheat)
Lineage: Eukaryota; Viridiplantae; Streptophyta; Magnoliopsida; Poales; Poaceae
Description: partial small subunit ribosomal RNA
Source: RNAcentral
AUGCCGGACACCAUGCUGGAGGACCUGCCCGAGUGGCUCGUCGUCGACGAGAUCCUGGUCCGGCUGCCACCCAAGGACGUGCUCCGCUGCCGCGCCGUCCGCAAGUCGUGGUGCGGCGCCACUUCCACCGACAAGUCCAUCCUGGACAACCACCGCCGCCAGCCGUCGCUCCCCAUCGUCGAACACGACGAGGGCAUCUCCUGCCUCGCCGCCACCAGAGCUCAGAAGAUACUACGGCCCAUCGUCCGGUACAGUCCCGAUCCAGUUUCCAACAUCGCUUUCUGUGAUGGCCUCCUCAUCCUGUCGCGGCAGUCCAGCUUCUACAUCUGCAACCCGGCCACCCGCAAGUGCGCUCCCCUGCCGCGUCCUCCGCUGCGGCCAGGAUUCAGGGCCCCCAACGUCGUCGCCUUCUACCAGCACGACGCAUCCCCCCGAGAGUACCGGGUGCUUUGGGUUUUCUCGGCACACAUGGCGAGGCGCACCAGGUACUUCGUCCUCCCGGUGGGAUCGGACCAGCCAAGAUGCAUCCAAUGGCCGACAGUUUUACAGAGUUAUCCCGCUUCCUGUGACCUCCCACCAGUCCACCAUCGUGGUGCCCUGCACUGGGAACUGAGCCUCGGCAUAACGGUGUUGGACACCGUAACCGAGACAUUCCGGCACAUGAACCACGGCGGCGUUUUUUCACUGUUCGAUCUUGGUGGCGACCUUGCUUUGCGCCACACGUCCGGUGACUGCCUCACUCAGAACAUUUGGGUGCUGCAGGACUAUGACGCCGAGACGUGGGCAUUUCGAUACCGGAUUGACCUGCGAGCGAUGGAGGUGUCGCCGCCGCUUCCGCUUGAUUUCGCGGACGCUUAUUUCGCCCCUAUGAUGGCUGUGAUCAACGAGCGUGAGCUGUUGAUCCAGCAUGGUGGUGACCGCCUGUUGCAUUGUGACAUCGAGAGUCUGUUUUUAGGAAAUGUGGAAAGCCAAGACCAUGAAAGCAGCUUGAAUCGGUUUGCAAACAGUUUGUCACUCACUAUGCAUCGCCUCCAAGAGAGCAUGAUUUCGCUUCCGUUGUUUGAGAUGCAAGAAGAAGAUGCCAUGAACAAGGAGCCUCCGUUCAUCAUAGUUCUGUAA